AAGGAGCCUGAGAAACGGCUACUACAUCCAAGGAAGGCAGCAGGCGCGCAAAUUACCCAAUCCCGAUUCGGGGAGGUAGUGACAAUAAAUACUGAUACAGGGCUCUUUUGGGUCUUGUAAUUGGAAUGAGUACAAUUUAAAUCCCUUAACGAGGAACAAUUGGAGGGCAAGUCUGGUGCCAGCAGCCGCGGUAAUUCCAGCUCCAAUAGCGUAUAUUAAAGUUGUUGUGGUUAAAAAGCUCGUAGUUGAACCUUGGGCCUGGCUGGCCGGUCCGCCUCACCGCGUGUACUGGUCCGGCCGGGCCUUUCCCUCUGUGGAACCCCAUGCCCUUCACUGGGUGUGGCGGGGAAACAGGACUUUUACUUUGAAAAAAUUAGAGUGCUCCAGGCAGGCCUAUGCUCGAAUACA
RNAcentral lists this ribosomal RNA (408 nucleotides) under Papiliomyces longiclavatus. RNAcentral's name for it is "SSU rRNA". It matches the Rfam family "Eukaryotic small subunit ribosomal RNA", at positions 389 to 803 of the family's 1831-position model. The record is from RNAcentral. Lineage: Eukaryota; Fungi; Ascomycota; Sordariomycetes; Hypocreales; Clavicipitaceae.